CACUAGUGAUUCUCCUGGAAACGGGUGGUAAUGCCGGAUGCUCCGGUUGGAUGCAUGUCCUUCCGGGAAAGAUUUCAUCGGUAUGGGAUGGGGUCGCGUCCUAUCAGGUAGUCGGCGGGGUAACGGCCCACCGAGCCUACGACGGGUAGCCGGCCUGAGAGGGCGACCGGCCACAUUGGGACUGAGAUACGGCCCAGACUCCUACGGGAGGCAGCAGUGGGGAAUAUUGCACAAUGGGCGCAAGCCUGAUGCAGCGACGCCGCGUGCGGGAUGACGGCCUUCGGGUUGUAAACCGCUUUUGAUCGGGAGCAAGCCUCCGGGUGAGUGUACCUUUCGAAUAAGCACCGGCUAACUACGUGCCAGCAGCCGCGGUAAUACGUAGGGUGCAAGCGUUAUCCGGAAUUAUUGGGCGUAAAGGGCUCGUAGGCGGUUCGUCGCGUCCGGUGUGAAAGUCCAUCGCUUAACGGUGGAUCCGCGCCGGGUACGGGCGGGCUUGAGUGCGGUAGGGGAGACUGGAAUUCCCGGUGUAACGGUGGAAUGUGUAGAUAUCGGGAAGAACACAAUCGAAUUC
Molecule: ribosomal RNA, 571 nt
Filed under: uncultured Bifidobacterium sp.
Lineage: Bacteria; Bacillati; Actinomycetota; Actinomycetes; Bifidobacteriales; Bifidobacteriaceae
Description: bacterial SSU rRNA
Rfam family: Bacterial small subunit ribosomal RNA
Source: RNAcentral